GACGAACGCUGGCGGCGUGCUUAACACAUGCAAGUCGAACGGAAAGGCCCUGCUUUUGUGGGGUGCUCGAGUGGCGAACGGGUGAGUAACACGUGAGUAACCUGCCCUUGACUUUGGGAUAACUUCAGGAAACUGGGGCUAAUACCGGAUAGGAGCUCCUGCUGCAUGGUGGGGGUUGGAAAGUUUCGGCGGUUGGGGAUGGACUCGCGGCUUAUCAGCUUGUUGGUGGGGUAGUGGCUUACCAAGGCUUUGACGGGUAGCCGGCCUGAGAGGGUGACCGGCCACAUUGGGACUGAGAUACGGCCCAGACUCCUACGGGAGGCAGCAGUGGGGAAUAUUGCACAAUGGGCGGAAGCCUGAUGCAGCAACGCCGCGUGCGGGAUGACGGCCUUCGGGUUGUAAACCGCUUUCGCCUGUGACGAGGCGUGAGUGACGGUAAUGGGUAAAGAAGCACCGGCUAACUACGUGCCAGCAGCCGCGGUGAUACGUAGGGUGCGAGCGUUGUCCGGAUUUAUUGGGCGUAAAGGGCUCGUAGGUGGUUGAUCGCGUCGGAAGUGUAAUCUUGGGGCUUAACCCUGAGCGUGCUUUCGAUACGGGUUGACUUGAGUAAGGUAGGGGAGAAUGGAAUUCCUGGUGGAGCGGUGGAAUGCGCAGAUAUCAGGAGGAACACCAGUGGCGAAGGCGGUUCUCUGGGCCUUUCCUGACGCUGAGGAGCGAAAGCGUGGGGAGCGAACAGGCUUAGAUACCCUGGUAGUCCACGCUGUAAACGGUGGGUACUAGGUGUGGGGUCCAUUCCACGGGUUCCGUGCCGUAGCUAACGCUUUAAGUACCCCGCCUGGGGAGUACGGCCGCAAGGCUAAAACUCAAAGGAAUUGACGGGGCCCCGCACAAGCGGCGGAGCAUGCGGAUUAAUUCGAUGCAACGCGUAGAACCUUACCUGGGUUUGACAUGGAUCGGGAGUGCUCAGAGAUGGGUGUGCCUCUUUUGGGGUCGGUUCACAGGUGGUGCAUGGCUGUCGUCAGCUCGUGUCGUGAGAUGUUGGGUUAAGUCCCGCAACGAGCGCAACCCUUGUUCACUGUUGCCAGCACGUUAUGGUGGGGACUCAGUGGAGACCGCCGGGGUCAACUCGGAGGAAGGUGGGGAUGACGUCAAGUCAUCAUGCCCCUUAUGUCCAGGGCUUCACGCAUGCUACAAUGGCUGGUACAGAGAGUGGCGAGCCUGUGAGGGUGAGCGAAUCUCGGAAAGCCGGUCUCAGUUCGGAUUGGGGUCUGCAACUCGACCUCAUGAAGUCGGAGUCGCUAGUAAUCGCAGAUCAGCAACGCUGCGGUGAAUACGUUCCCGGG
RNAcentral lists this ribosomal RNA (1343 nucleotides) under uncultured bacterium. RNAcentral describes it as "16S ribosomal RNA". It matches the Rfam family "Bacterial small subunit ribosomal RNA", at positions 28 to 1378 of the family's 1533-position model. The record is from RNAcentral.